Molecule: non-coding RNA, 219 nt
Organism: Styela clava
Lineage: Eukaryota; Metazoa; Chordata; Ascidiacea; Stolidobranchia; Styelidae
Source: RefSeq, a predicted model, not a curated record
AGAGUCUUCUUCCAGCUUGGAUAUCGAUCAGGCCAUUUUACGCCUAGUUAAUAAAGAACAAGAUGAUGCUGAAAUAUUUGCCCAAUCGCUUGUGCAGACAUUUAGACGGUUGCCAAAUAAAAAAUUUCAGCAUGCAAGGAUUGAACUUCAAGAAGUUUUGUUUCAUCUAGAAUUUAAUACAGAUUAGAUACAUGCUCAAAUAUAUACUGGUUUGUAGUA